Molecule: ribosomal RNA, 254 nt
Filed under: uncultured bacterium
Lineage: Bacteria
Description: partial 16S ribosomal RNA
Rfam family: Bacterial small subunit ribosomal RNA
Source: RNAcentral
UACGGGGGGAGCAAGCGUUGUUCGGAUUUACUGGGCGUAAAGGGCGCGUAGGCGGCCAGCACAAGUCAGUUGUGAAAUCUCCGGGCUUAACUCGGAAAGGUCAACUGAUACUGUGCGGCUAGAGUGCAGAAGGGGCAACUGGAAUUCUCGGUGUAGCGGUGAAAUGCGUAGAUAUCGAGAGGAACACCUGCGGCGAAGGCGGGUUGCUGGGCUGACACUGACGCUGGUGCGCGAAAGCCAGGGGAGCGAACGGG